CCAGCUCCAAUAGCGUAUAUUAAAGUUGUUGCAGUUAAAAAGCUCGUAGUUGAAUUUUGGGCCUAGUUGGGUGGUCUAGCUUAACGGUUAGUACUGCUUUAAUUGGGUCUUUCCUUCUGGGGAACUAUGGUGCACUUUAUUGUGUGCCUUAGGGAUCCAGGACUUUUACUGUGAAAAAAUUAGAGUGUUUAAAGCAGGCUUACGCUUGAAUACAUUAGCAUGGAAUAAUAGAAUAGGACUAUGGUUCUAUUUUGUUGGUUUCUAGGACCAAAGUAAUGAUUAAUAGGGAUAGUUGGGGCAUUAGUAUUUUAUAGUCAGAGGUGAAAUUCUUGGAUUUAUGAAAGACUAACUUCUGCGAAAGCAUUUGCCAAGGAUGUUUUCAUUAAUCAAGAACGAAACAAGGGGGAUCGAAGACGAUCAGAUACCGUCGUAGUCUCUUGCGUAAACGAUGCCGACUAGGGAUCGGGCGAUGUUAUUUUUUGACUCGCUCGGCACCUUAUGAGAAAUCAAAGUUUUUGGGUUCCGGGGGGAGUAGGGUCGCAAGGCUGAAACUUAAAGGAAUUGACGGAAGGGCACCACCAGGAGUGGAGCCUGCGGCUUAAUUCGACUCAAC
This 613-nucleotide ribosomal RNA is filed under the name uncultured eukaryote. RNAcentral's name for it is "SSU rRNA". It matches the Rfam family "Eukaryotic small subunit ribosomal RNA", at positions 585 to 1204 of the family's 1831-position model. The record is from RNAcentral.